CCCUUAGAUGUUCUGGGCCGCACGCGCGCUACACUGAUCAGUGCAACAAGCAUCCGUCCUUGGCCGACAGGCCCGGGCAAUCUUUGAACGCUGAUCGUGAUGGGGAUAGACUUUUGCAAUUUUUGGUCUUCAACGAGGAAUUCCUAGUAAACGCAAGUCAUCAGCUUGCAUUGAUUACGUCCCUGCCCUUUGUACACACCGCCCGUCGCACCUACCGAUUGAAUGGUCCGGUGAAAUCUCGGGACGGCGGCUUGGUCGCUUGCGUCCGACUGCUGAAACUUGAUUAAACCAUAUCAUUUAGAGGAAGGUGAAGUCGUAACA
Molecule: ribosomal RNA, 321 nt
Filed under: uncultured eukaryote
Lineage: Eukaryota
Description: partial 18S ribosomal RNA
Rfam family: Eukaryotic small subunit ribosomal RNA
Source: RNAcentral